AACCAAGUAGAAACUGUUUAUUGUUACAGGUGAUAAAAGUCCAGUCAAUGUCCUUAACUCUCAACUAAACCAACCUUCUCCUUCCUCAUCUCCAGUCACUCUCCUCUCUCCCUCCCUCUUCUUCUUCUCCCUUACUUAACUCCACCCCACAACUCCUAUUGGUGCAUGCAAAUAUCAACAUAUUCAUGAGCAGGGUGAACACUCCAUCAGGAAAUCAUAGACAUCUUUCCCCAUUUGAGCACCUUCUCUGAAUACGUGCUAAACAUAUUCUUUUGGUUGACCUUUAGUUCUGUUGAGUCAGAGGAUCUCCCUAGACUGAGUUAUCCUACUACCUGAUCCCAAGAGAAAUCAGCUAAACUCACAAGCCAAUGGAAACACAGCAAACUUUAUAAAACACUUUUAUUUAUUACUUUUUAAACUAAAUUUAAAUAAUGCAAUUUCUUAGGGCAAACUAGAAAAAGGUAAAUACUGUACAGUAUCUGAUAUACAGCUGCUGGGACUCCGCUAAGUUUUCACUGAGAGCAGAGUAGUAAUGUGGGAUUGGCCUAUUUGUGCAAAGAGGUGGAGGGCAAUUUUUAUUCAUUGAGACCAUGACUUCUUUUGUCCCAUUGUGAUGCUUUCAUGAGGGACACCAUUCCAUGUUGCUAUGCCAGGUGGGGCUUUCUGCGCAGCCAAGGUGCAGGACGACAUGAGGAAUCUACUUGAAAGGAACAUGUAAAAACAAUACCAGGCAACACAUCUUAAAAAUGACAAUAUCCAGAAGGACAGAAAAUAUCUUUGUUUGUUGAUGAGAAGAUAGCAGUGUAUACUUCAGCCUUAACUUCCAGACAAGAAGAACUGUCACAAUCCAAGAAGGUUAAUGCCGACUUCAGAGGUGACAGACCCACAGCUGUGUGGCCCAUCUCACGGGCAGCACUCAACGCCGAAGCAUCAUCCAGGGUGAAGGAACUGGCACAACCCCGGCCUUUUAUAGAUGACUGGGCAUUAAGCCGCCCCCGUUUCCCUUUGGUGAGCAAAGGAGCACUGAAUGCCACUCCCUCACAACGGGUAAUAGCACUAGCUACACCAAGGAGCCUGCCGGUAUCACCUUUAAAGAAGCCACCUAAAAAAACACCCCGUGGCCCUAUUGCUAAUGUUGCCAAGUUUGAGGAACUCUCCAAACCACGGAUCUACAUGUAUGAAAGCCACAAUCCCUACAAAGUUUCCAAGGCAGCUCUCCAGUAUGUUCCUAGUUCUCGCAUUUUGGAAAUCAGCCGUCCUGUGAGAAUGAGAGCCAAAGCAGCCCACAUUACAUAGAAGACACUCUUUCUUUGUUUUGGCCCAGUAACAAAUCUGAUUAAAGGAUGUUUUCUGCUCCCCUCAGAUCUGUAAAUUGAGUGAAUUCUUUUUCCGUCUCCUGCUUAGUUGUGUGAUAUCUUCAGUCUAGCACAACUCUGUAUUAGUCUAGCUUUUAUUAUCUAUCUUGCAGAACACAAACAUGUGACAAAGAAUGUACCCGAUUUUUUUCCAACUUUAACUGUUAUAUACACAGGGGUACAUGAUACUCUUCAGCCUCAAUACAACUCUUGAAUGAUACUCUAGAACCUGCUUAUGUAAGAGCCAAACCAGAUAAUAAACUAUAUUGUUAGAAUCA
Molecule: long non-coding RNA, 1633 nt
Organism: Pogona vitticeps (central bearded dragon)
Lineage: Eukaryota; Metazoa; Chordata; Lepidosauria; Squamata; Agamidae
Product: theg spermatid protein
Source: Ensembl